Neomonachus schauinslandi (Hawaiian monk seal) is the source of this 813-nucleotide long non-coding RNA. RefSeq lists it as uncharacterized. Lineage: Eukaryota; Metazoa; Chordata; Mammalia; Carnivora; Phocidae. The record is from RefSeq and is a predicted model, not a curated record. The transcript has 3 exons.
GGGAGGGGUCAGGAGAAUAAAUAUGCUGGCCUCACACUCUUUUCCCCUCUCCAGUCUACUGUGGGCCUCCCACUGGCCAAACCCAAGCAGAAGCCAAGGCGGAGUCCUCUUGCUGCCAUACAGGCAUACAGGAAUUUAGCCUCCAAUCCAACACUAGGGAACACAAGGUGUAUCAUGACAAGGUCAACAGAAAUAAAUUUGUAGAGAUGAACUGCUUUGUUUGCUGCCACAAGUAUCUGAAAUGGAUCGACAAUCUACCAAAAAGAACAGAAAGAAUUAACACGCGGAGCAUCUAAAGAUGCAUGCCUUUUCUCUUGGUAACUCCAAUGUCAGGCUGUUUUACUUCAUCACAACUUCUAUGGACUAUGUUUUCAAAAUUGCUGGGUGCUCAGAAAAUCAUAGAAUUUUAAAGCUGCAAGAAACUUAAAUAGUAAACAUUUUUAAAGUAACAUUUGAGAAUAUCACAGGAAAAGCUAUAUUCUAAAGAUUUUACGUGUAUUAUUUUAAUCCUUAAAACUACCCUAUGAAAUCAGUAUUGUUCAUAUGCAGUGGAUGAGGAAACCAAAGCAAAGAAUGUCUGGAUUUGAAUCCCAGCUCUGUCACUUACCACUGAGGGGAUUUGGGCAAAUUCCUUAGGUUUAUCUGUUAGAUGCAGAUAAUCAUAGUAGUUACUUCAUAGGGUUGUUGUGAAGAUUGAGUUGGUAUAUGGAAAGGAAUAGAGUAAGCACUCUCUAAAGGUUGUCCACCACUUGCUCGAAGUCCUAAUGGCAGAGCUGGGAUUAAAUCCUACGGCCAUGGUUCCAUGGUGUGUGC